Molecule: ribosomal RNA, 560 nt
Filed under: uncultured bacterium
Lineage: Bacteria
Description: bacterial SSU rRNA
Rfam family: Bacterial small subunit ribosomal RNA
Source: RNAcentral
CCUACGGGAGGCAGCAGUGGGGAAUAUUGGACAAUGGGCGAAAGCCUGAUCCAGCAAUGCCGCGUGAGUGAUGAAGGCCUUAGGGUUGUAAAGCUCUUUUACUAGGGAUGAUAAUGACAGUACCUAGAGAAUAAGCCCCGGCUAACUCCGUGCCAGCAGCCGCGGUAAUACGGAGGGGGCUAGCGUUGUUCGGAAUUACUGGGCGUAAAGAGUACGUAGGCGGUUAUUCAAGUCAGAGGUGAAAGCCUGGAGCUCAACUCCAGAACUGCCUUUGAAACUAGAUAGCUAGAAUCAUGGAGAGGUUAGUGGAAUUCCGAGUGUAGAGGUGAAAUUCGUAGAUAUUCGGAAGAACACCAGUGGCGAAGGCGACUAACUGGACAUGUAUUGACGCUGAGGUACGAAAGCGUGGGGAGCAAACAGGAUUAGAUACCCUGGUAGUCCACGCCGUAAACGAUGAUAACUAGCUGUUCGGGCUCGUCAGAGCUUGAGUGGCGCAGCUAACGCAUUAAGUUAUCCGCCUGGGGAUACGGUCGCAAGNUUAAAACUUAAGGAAUUGACGG